Molecule: transfer RNA, 74 nt
Filed under: Tetraselmis suecica
Lineage: Eukaryota; Viridiplantae; Chlorophyta; Chlorodendrophyceae; Chlorodendrales; Chlorodendraceae
Description: tRNA-Met
Rfam family: tRNA
About the family: Transfer RNA (tRNA) molecules are approximately 80 nucleotides in length. Their secondary structure includes four short double-helical elements and three loops (D, anti-codon, and T loops).
Source: RNAcentral
GCCUGCUUAGCUCAGUUGGUUAGAGCGUCCGUCUCAUACGCGGAUUGCCACUAGUUCGAAUCUAGUAGCAGGCA